GUCUACAGCCAUACCAGCCUGAAUGCAUCUAUUCUUGUCUGGUAUCAGAAGCUAAGCAAGGUUGGGCCUGGUCAGUACUUGGGUGGGAGAAAAAUUUUUGGCAUCUUUUAAAGGGGUGUUUAGGGGCUGGAGCGA
RNAcentral lists this ribosomal RNA (135 nucleotides) under Sorex araneus (European shrew). The record is from RNAcentral. Lineage: Eukaryota; Metazoa; Chordata; Mammalia; Eulipotyphla; Soricidae.